This 460-nucleotide ribosomal RNA is filed under the name uncultured bacterium. Its description in RNAcentral is "partial 16S ribosomal RNA". It matches the Rfam family "Bacterial small subunit ribosomal RNA", at positions 338 to 795 of the family's 1533-position model. The record is from RNAcentral.
CCUACGGGGGGCAGCAGUGAGGAAUAUUGGUCAAUGGACGAGAGUCUGAACCAGCCAAGUAGCGUGAAGGAUGACUGCCCUAUGGGUUGUAAACUUCUUUUAUAUGGGAAUAAAACGUUCCACGUGUGGGAUUUUGUAUGUACCAUAUGAAUAAGGAUCGGCUAACUCCGUGCCAGCAGCCGCGGUAAUACGGAGGAUCCGAGCGUUAUCCGGAUUUAUUGGGUUUAAAGGGAGCGUAGGUGGAUUGUUAAGUCAGUUGUGAAAGUUUGCGGCUCAACCGUAAAAUUGCAGUUGAAACUGGCAGUCUUGUGUACAGUAGAGGUGGGCGGAAUUCGUGGUGUAGCGGUGAAAUGCUUAGAUAUCACGAAGAACUCCGAUUGCGAAGGCAGUUCACUGGACUGCAACUGACACUGAGGCUCGAAAGUGUGGGUAUCAAACAGGAUUAGAUACCCCGGUAGUC